RNAcentral lists this long non-coding RNA (7820 nucleotides) under Homo sapiens (human). Its description in RNAcentral is "HSALNT0361625". Lineage: Eukaryota; Metazoa; Chordata; Mammalia; Primates; Hominidae. The record is from RNAcentral.
AGAGGCUCCUAAGACCUGACUCUAUGCACUGCGUCUCAGGCCUGGUAGUCAGUGGUGGGAACUGGUCAGGGAAGAAAACAAUGCAUUAGGCGUUAGAUGCAUGUUAUCUCAUCAAGUUAUGAAAUAGAUCAUCUCAUCUCCACUUUACUGAUGAAGAAAAUGCAGCUCAGAGAGGUUAAGCAACCUGCCCACGAUCACACAGGACCAGUGGGCCACCUAGAACAAACGCCAAGCUAAACUGCUCGAGCACAGUGAUGGCCUCUUCUUGUGUCACAUUUGCAGACAUUCCACUGGCCAAAGAAAGUCAUGGGGCCAAGCACAGCCUCAGUGGCCCAGGGAAAUCUGCUCUGUCCAGUCCAAUAGACAGAGAGGGGAAUGAAUAGCUGCUGAAUUAUCCAAAUUCACACUAUUUGCCUGACUCCAGUAUCCUAUUUCUUAAUUGACUCUAACUCAGAUGGAGAAAAGAGAUAUGACUAGUUAUUAUAGAAAUCCAUCUGAACCCCUUGCACAGAAGAGUGAGGCAUGGGAGCUGAAGGCUGACUUAGAUAAAAGGGACUGGGCAGGUGCAAUUGCUUCCCACUGAGAGGCCAAGGAGUUGGAGUUGGGGACCAAGACAUCAGUUUGCAAAGCAAGACUCUGAGACUCUUAGAGGAACUUAAAAGACUGGAAGAGAGGAGAUGGCAACAGGACAUUAAGGAACAUGCAAAAGUACACAAGACACUUCCACUUUUUACCCUAUCCUGGGCAUUCAUUGUGGAUGCUAAAUUUUGGAAGAAGCCAGUGAGUUUGCCUUAGCUCUGCCUGAGGUCAGCCUCUCUCCUCUCAGCCACCACGGCCUACCUUGAUAUCCUCCUGUGGUGUCCUCAACUCUGGCUGGUUGCCUGUUGUAAUGGGUUGAAUGGUGGCCCCUACAAGUGGUAGGCCUGCUCAGAAUCUGUGAUUGUGAUUUUAUUUGGAAAAAGGGUUAAGAUUUUAAUAAUUAAGUUUAAAAUCUCAGGAUAAGAUCAUCCUGUACUACCUUAUGUGGACCCUAAACCCAAUGACAAGUGUCCUCAUAAGAGGCAGAAGAGAAGAACAUACAGCCAGAAAAGAAGGGAAGCCAUGUGAAGAUGGAGACAGAGGUUGGAGCACUGCAGCCACAAGGAUCGCUGAUAACUGCCUGGGUUGGAAGAGACUGGAAGAUUCUCUCCUAGAGCCUCUGGAAUAAGUGUGACUCUAUUGACUCCUUAGUUUUGGCUUUCUGGCCUCUAGAACUGUAGAAGAAUGAAUAUCUGUUGCUGUAAGUCAUGCAGUUUGUGAUAAUUUGUCAUGGCAGUCCUAGAGAAUGAAUAUACUAGUCUAGUCUGCUUUCUAUCAGGCCCUGGUCUUUCCCAACCCUCUCUCCAGUAUUGCCCCGGGGAAGACAAUUUAAUUGUUCACACUGGGGUUGCCUUCCUGUCUCUUUUCUCCUAACUUUCUAUUUUCCUGUUCUUUUCAGAAAGUUGUUCCUCUCCCUAUUGAGUUUUUUCUGUUCACCUGAUCUUCCAAAUCCAUUAUUUUCUCUUUGACAUCUUCACAUUCCAGCCUUGUUUAUUUUACUUAUUUUUUUUUUAACAUUCAGAGAGUUUGGACACAUGCAUCUCAGCCUUCCCUUUUCAGCCUAAAGAUGCUUGUGCUUUGAGGCCGUAUGCAGCAAGUGCCUUCCCCAUCCCUGUGUUUAUAGUAGAUGGUCAUCUAAUCCAUUCUCUCUCUCUCUAUUCUGAUUUUGUCUCUACAACAUAUUGGCAGAGGGAUUUUCUAGCAUUUGCUUAUGUUUAUUCGUAGAUGAGAAGCUCACCAACCCCAGGACAGUCUGUUCAGUUAGAUUCUGUCUGUCUAAGAAGACCUUAUAUUGGCCAUGGUAUUAGUCAGUCUGGGCAGCUAUAACAAAUUACCAUAAGCUGGGUGGCCUAAACAAGAAACAUGCAGUUGUCACAGUUCUCGAGGCUGGAAGUUGAGAUAAGUAUGCCAGCAUGGUUGGGUUCUUGGCAAGGGCUCUUUUUCAGCUUCUUAGAUGGCUGUCUUCCUGUGGCCUCAUAUGGUAAGAGAAAAAGAAAGAUCUCAUGUUUUCCUCUCUUGUAAGGGCAUUAAUUUCAUCAUGAGGGCGCCACCCUCCUGAAAGCCCAACCUCCUGAAACCAUCACAUUGAGGAUGAGGAUAUCAGCAUAUGAUUGGAGGGGAACAUUCAGUCCAUAAGAGCCAUCUAUUAUGUCAACCCUGCUUGCCUACCUGUAACUUCACCCACUGCUCUUUCUCUCCUUCCAAAAUUAUGGGGAGAAGCAGGCUUUCAGUAUUUGCAGAGAGCUGUCAUCAACCCUAAGGUCUCCUGGUCCCAAGGGAAUAGCCUUGCUUCUUCCAGGUACUCUAUGUAGGACCUGCUUUUGGGCCCUUUCAAGAUUGGUCUAAACAUUCUCACCACAAGAGACAGCACAGGACCCCAGGCAGAGUAUCUCAUACCCUUGGACACAGUGUGUAGGACUGGAUUCUUAUAGGGAUUAAUUUAUGAUUAGGAGCUGUAAUUAUCAUGUAAGCCUGAGGCUGCUAGAGGGCUAACUGUCCGACCCCUGGGAGAGGCUCUUACACAGAAUGCUGUCAGCACAGUAGAAAACAAUGGAGAGCUAGAGAGAGAGAGAAAGAGAGAGAGAGAGAGAGCUGUCCCUUAUGAUAUCUUUGGACCAAUCAGGAUUCAACUGUGUUUGAUGCUGACCCACCCCUUGACUUUUCAGUUAUGUGAGCUUAAAAAUUCCAUCCUUGUUUGAAGUACUUUGGUUUCUGCCUUUGCAAGAAAGAGUCUUGGCUAAUAUAUCCAGUCCAGCCAGUGCUCCCCAGUGGGCUUCCUAGGAAUGAUGGCUGUGUUUAGCUUUGGGCCUCACCGAACUUCCUUGCUUCUGACCUGACUCUGCCUUCAUCCUUGGUCAUGCAGAUUUCUUCCUUCCUUUACAAUGUCCUAUUCAUUGCUAUUCUCUUGUUUCACAUUGGCAAUUGCAACCGUAGCCUUCUCUCUGGGAGCCUUACCCCUUUCUGCCCCCAAGCUCCAUCUCUGAGCUCUGCUUCAUUUGUUCUCUUGUGCAAAGCAGUGUUCUCAUGCCAUCUCCAAGGUCUUACCCUCCUCAAACCAAAAGGGAGCCUUUUGGCCUAGCUGGUGUCUCUGCCUUCCUUAAAUGGGAGCCACACUGCAGAGGCUCCAGAAAUAUACGUGCAUGCACAAGAGAAGGCUCACCUUCAUUCAAUCCAAUUUAACUGUAAGAAUAAAAGCAUUGAAAAACGAUCUUUAGCAAUCAAUUCUACGAUGAAUUAUGCAGCAAAUCAUAAGCAUUGCCCCCAAAUAUUAUGUCUACAGGAAAUGGCCUUAUGCAGCUAAUUGUUAACUGGGAAACUCUUUCAUUAAUUCAAAUGGGUCAACAUUUUAAAAUGAUACUGUCAUAUAAAUACAGUGUGAAGGUUUACAUGCAGAUCACUCUAAGGUAUCCCCCCCCUUUUUUUUUUAGUGAAGCCGACUAUUGCUGCAUUAUGUUUUAUUGUGCAAUAAAAUUAUGUGCUAAAAUUAUGCUCAUAAAUGUACGCAAAUGUAAACCAAGCUAUUAGUUAUGUUUUCACAGAUAAAAGUCAUUAGUAUAGCUAUCAAACUCUUCUCCCAUUUGAAUAACAGAAUUAUGUCUGGAAUCUCAGUCUGGCUUGCUGGGGCUCAGUCCCAGAGAGAACAAGUGUAAAUCUUGUUGCCUGUGGGAGCAAGGAUCCCGACCUGACUUUCACCAUGGAGGCCAACUCUGCCUUGAGCCUGCCAGGGUCACUAGCUGAGGAAGGGCCCUUUCGGCAUCUCUCAGCAGCUCUCAUCCCUGGGAAGUCAUUCUUAACACCUCCCCCCAACCUACUUCCUGCUAAUUAGACUUAUCGAAAAACAAUUGCACAUCUUUUGAGAUUUCAGGAGGCUGACAGCAUCUUUUAGCAACAGUCACAAGGAAACAAAGUUUCAUGUAUAAUUCAUGAGAUAUGUGGUCAUCCUGGUGGGAAAUUAUCUCCUCUGACAGGCUCAGCGGUGGUGGUGUCCUGUCAGAAUGGCCUACAGUGUAUAAUUAAAACCUGAACAGAACAAAUUAAUGCUGAUUACUUUAUAAACAGUUUGAAAGCUUGAAUUCUGUUCCCUGUCUUGCAAGAAGAAAACAGAUAUUUCAGAAAUGUGUAGAUGCCCCCCUCCCCUUACUAAUAGCAGAAGCUAAUAAAGGGCCCUUGAAUAGAUAUUACAGUUAACACUCUUUGUCCUCCAAUUUGCUUCUGUGGCCCUGGACAGCUCUAAGUCUGAGGGAGCAAACCAAAAAUUUGGCAGGUGCUACUUUUCCAAGGCAGAGGGUCUCCCUCUCUCCUGUAAUGCAGUGUUUGUCUGUCAGGGCUAGUAAAAGCUUUACAGUGCAGAAUAUGAGCACUGUGGCCAGGCGUAGUAGCUCAUGCCUGUAAUCCCAGCAUUUUGGAAGGCCGAGGCGGGUGGAUCACCUGAGGUCAGGAGUUUGAGAACAGCCCGGCCAACAUGGAGAAACCCCAUCUCUAAUAAAAAUACAAAAAUUAGCAGGGCAUGCUGGCACACACCUGUAAUCCCAGCUAUUUGGGAGGGUGAGGCAGGAGAAUGGCUUGAACCCAGGAGGCGGAGGUUGCAGUGAGCUGAGAUGGAGAUUGCACCAGUGCACACCAGCCUGGGUAACAGAGCCAGACUCCAUCUCCAAAAAACAACAAUAAUAAACAAUAAAGAAUAUGAGCACUGUGAGGGCCCACCAGGUCAGCUCAUCACAACUUUUAUUUUAUUCAUAAGGCUCAAAGUCAAGCAGAGCCAUGACAAGAUCACUAGACUGGCAAUGCAGGGCUCUUUCCUGGGCCCAGAGUUUGAAACAACAGCAGCAAUAUUAAACUAACAUUUUUGAAUACUGGUUAUGUGCCAGGAACUGUGUCUGCAAUCUCAUUUAAUUCUCAUAGCCCUAUAAAGUAUAUACUACAAUUCUCCCCAUUUUAUAGUGGGAAAGGCAUUCAGAGACAUUGAGUUUCCUACCAAGAUGCCUCACUUGGUUGGCUGGCAGAUAAAUUACUUUCCCUCCAUCCUUGCAGACAUCAACCUUAGCCAUGACCCUUCCACUGUGGCCUGAAUUCUUAUACUAGUCUUCUAACCAGUCUGUCUCGUGGCUUCCAACUUUGAUCUCUUUAAAUUUAUCCACCAUGCCUCAGCCAGGGCUAGCUUUUAGAAACAGAAAAUGGGUCACUUCAUCCCCAGCAUAAAAUAAUUGAUCAGUUCAACAAAUCUUUAUUUAGCGUCUACCACUUGGCAGGCACCACGCUAGAGUGGGGUAUGUACUGGUGAAUGAAACAUAGUGCCCACCCUCAUGGAGCUUACAGUCAGAGUGGGAAGAGAUGAUGGAUUUCCUGUUGCUCCUGGGUCCAAGUCCAAACUCCUAAAGAUGGUUUAAAAGGCAUGCCAGAUCCUAGGCUCUGUCUUUUUUUCCAGCUUCACCUCCAGGAACUCUUCCUGCAUCAGACCAGUUUAGAAAAACAAGGAAAUAGGUCUCAGCUGGCCUUCUCCAUUGCAAAACCUGUGAAAUUGAAAUUCAUACCCUUCUGCCCUGUCUGCCUAUAGGAACCCAGAAGUAGAAUCCUGUUUUUAUUAAUGAAGUGAUACAACAUGGCCUCAUAUCACAUCCCUCUUGGCAAAGCCAUAUUUCUAUAGAGGGAGACGGUGUGGUUUUGCAAAAGGAGCACAGGACUGAGGCAGAUAUGGGUUCAAAUGCUAGCUUAGUGUAUACAGCACCCUUGACAUAAGUAACUCCAUCUUAGAAAAAGACUCCAUCUUACAUUUCAAAAGCCAUGAUGCCAAUAGGGACUGGAUGUUUGCCUAAUCAAUAGAGAUUACACCCAACUAGAUAAGGACAUGACCAGUCACAUUCUUUACUAUCAAUUUAUACCAGCGAACUCAAGAGCUAUAAAAUGAAUAGAACUUCACCAGCUCAAGGUGGCUGCCUUAAUAGACACUGUCUUGCUGUCACUCAGCACCUCAGCACCCAGCAACUGCUGCUGAAGUCUCUGCCCAAAUCAAGGACUCUUCCUUGCAAGACGUUGACUCCCAUCCAGAUCAGCCUGGGACACUCUCUGUCUGUACACGUCACUCUCCUUGGACUGGUUUAUUAACCCCAUUUUAAAUUCCCUUGUGAUGGUUAAUAUUGAGUGUCAACUUGAUUGGAUUGAAGGAUGCAAAGUAUUGUUCCUGGGUGUGUCUGUGACUGUGUUACCAAAGGAGAUUAACAUUUGAGUCAGUGGACUGGGAGAGGCAGACCUACCCUCAAUCUGGGUGGGCACCAUCUAAUCAGCUGCCAGUGAUGCUAGAAUAAAGCAGGUAGCAGAAGAUGGAAGAGCAGACUUGCUGAGUCUUCCAGCCUUCAUCUUUCUCCCAUGCUGGAUGCUUCCUGCCCUUGAACAUCAGACUCCAAGUUCUUCAGUUUUUGGACUCUUGGACUUACACCAGUGGUUUGCCAGGGGCUCUCAGGCCUUUGGCCACAGACUGAAGCCUGCACUGUUGGCUUCCCCAGUUUUGAGGUUUGGGGACCCAGACUGAUCCACCACUGACUUCCUUGCUCCUCAACUUGCAGAUAGCCUAUUGUGGGACUUUAACUUGUGAUUGCGUGAGCCAAUUCUCCUUAAUAAACUCCCUUUCAUAUAUACAUAUAUCCUGUUAGUUCUGUCCCUCUGGAGAACCCUGACUAAUACACCCCUCUUCUCUUGAUGUUAAAUGUUACUCUGUUUGAUGUAAUCUGUAACAUUUAUAUAUUGAGUAUACUACUAUGUAUGGUUUUGCAAUUUUGACUGACCUAUGCUGUGGCUUGAGCCUGUGUGCCAUGUCUCUGACUACCAAGCAAAUGGAUAGUACUAAGAAUUUCCUUCUUGGGAACUCCAUGUAGCUUGUGGCUUUUAUGGUUGAAUAAGCAUCAAUAAAUCAGACCUUAUGAAAAGACACAAACAUGCAUGGGCCUGGUUAUAUCUUAUCUUGUGCAGCUCAUGACACUUAGUUUCUUAGUAGUUGGCUGAACUUGGAUAUGUUACUUUCUCUCUAUGAGCCUUAGCUUUUUUAAAUAUGCAAAGUGGGGCUAAUAAUACCCACAUCUUAUGGCAAGGAUGCUUAAACAUUAGCAUGUGUCAGAAUUACCUUGGCUUGUUAAAGCACAGAUUGCUAGACCCCAUCCCCAUCUGAUUCAGUGGGUCUGUGAUGGGGUCAGGGAAUUUGCAUUUCUAACAUGUUCCCUGGUGCUGCACUGGGAACCACAUUUUGAGAACCACGGUUUUAUGGUAUUUGUGAGUUUUUCCCUUUGUUUUCUUUCGUUGAGGUUGAACAGUUCGUAUAUCUUAAGCAUAUAGCUUGAUGAAUGUUUGCAUUCGUGUGCACCCAUGUAGGCACCAACCAUCUCAACUGAGAUCCAGGCUACAGUUGACACUUGAAUGACAUGGAUUUUAAUAGUGUGAGUCCACUUAUAGGCAUAUUUUUUUCAACCAAAUGCAGAUCAGAAAUACAAUAUUGGUGGGAUGCAAAACCCACUUAUAAAGAGGGCCAACUUUUUGUAUCUGCAGGUUCCAAAAGGCUAGCUAUGGGACUUGAGUAUGUGUGGAUGUGGGUAUCUUCAGGUGUGGCCCUGGAACCAAUCUCUGCAUGUACUGAGAGACAACUGUAUUUUCAGCACCCUAUAGAAUUUCUUGUGCCCCUUCCCAAAGAUAACCACAAUUCUGCUCUAUAUCACCAUCUAUGGACCUUGCUUGUUUUUGGAUUUCUAUAAAUAAAA